This 1534-nucleotide ribosomal RNA is filed under the name Planctomycetota bacterium. Its description in RNAcentral is "bacterial SSU rRNA". It matches the Rfam family "Bacterial small subunit ribosomal RNA". The record is from RNAcentral. Lineage: Bacteria; Pseudomonadati; Planctomycetota.
UUUGAAGGGUUUGAUCCUGGCUCAGAACGAACGUUGGCGGCGUGGAUUAGGCAUGCAAGUCGAACGAGAAACCCUGGGCAACUGGGGUGGAAAGUGGCGAAAGGGGCAGUAAUGCGUGGGUAACCUACCCUGGGGAUCGGAAUAGCCAUCCUAACGGAUGGGUAAUACCGAGCGAUGUAACGAGGGGGCAUCUCCUUGUUACCAAAUGAAUUUCGCCCUGGGAGGGGCUCACGUCGUAUUAGCUUGUUGGUGAGGUAACGGCUCACCAAGGCAAAGAUGCGUAGCGGGUGUGAGAGCACGACCCGCGCCACUGGCACUGAGACACUGGCCAGACUCCUACGGGAGGCUGCAGUCGAGGAUCUUCGGCAAUGGGCGCAAGCCUGACCGAGCGACGCCGCGUGCGCGAUGAAGGCCUUCGGGUUGUAAAGCGCUGUCGAGGGGGAGAAAAGCCCGCAAGGGUCUGAUCUAUCCCUGGAGGAAGCACGGGCUAAGUUCGUGCCAGCAGCCGCGGUAAGACGAACCGUGCGAACGUUGUUCGGAAUCACUGGGCUUAAAGGGCGCGUAGGCGGUCGAUCAAGUCUGGGGUGAAAUCUUUCGGCUUAACCGGAAAAGUGCCUGGGAUACUGAUCGGCUGGAGGGAGGUAGGGGGAGCUGGAACUUCCAGUGGAGCGGUGAAAUGCGUUGAUAUUGGAAGGAACUCCGGUGGCGAAAGCGAGCUCCUGGACCUCUUCUGACGCUGAGGCGCGAAAGCUAGGGGAGCAAACGGGAUUAGAUACCCCGGUAGUCCUAGCCCUAAACGAUGGGUACUAGGUUGUGGACUUAACAUGGGUUCACAGCCGAAGCAAAAGUGUUUAGUACCCCGCCUGGGGAGUAUGGUCGCAAGGCUGAAACUCAAAGGAAUUGACGGGGGCUCACACAAGCGGUGGAGCAUGUGGCUCAAUUCGAGGCUACGCGAAGAACCUUAUCCUGGACUUGACAUGUGCGAAAGCGCUAGGAAGUAGGGAGCGGAAACGUUUCCCCAACGGUAUCCAGUCCGGAACCUAGUACAGGUGCUGCAUGGCUGUCGUCAGCUCGUGUCGUGAGAUGUCGGGUUAAGUCCCAUAACGAGCGAAACCCUUGUUUCCAGUUGCCAGCGGGUCAUGCCGGGGACUCUGGAAAGACUGCCGGUGUUAAACCGGAGGAAGGUGGGGAUGACGUCAAGUCCUCAUGGCCUUUAUGUCCAGGGCUGCACACGUGCUACAAUGGCGCAUACAAAGGGACGCCAACGCGCGAGCGGGAGCAAAUCCCAAAAAAUGCGCCCCAGUUCAGAUUGCAGGCUGCAACUCGCCUGCAUGAAGUUGGAAUCGCUAGUAAUCGCAGGUCAGCAACACUGCGGUGAAUGUGUUCCUGAGCCUUGUACACACCGCCCGUCAAGCCACGAAAGAUCGGGGCAUCCGAAGCCGGUGUCACAGCCGUCGAAGAUGAAACGGUCGAUUGGGACUAAGUCGUAACAAGGUAACCGUAGGGGAACCUGCGGUUGGAUCACCUCCUUUCU